This is a non-coding RNA of Strongylocentrotus purpuratus (purple sea urchin), 73 nucleotides long. NCBI's taxonomy places the organism in Eukaryota, Metazoa, Echinodermata, Echinoidea, Camarodonta, Strongylocentrotidae. The record is from Rfam.
GCGUUGGUGGUAUAGUGGUUAGCAUAGUUGCCUUCCAAGCAAUUGACCCCGGGUUCGAUUCCCGGCCAACGCA